GAGCAAAACCAGCGACGCGUCCCGGACGCCCGGGGACCCCUGUGGGUCUCGGUUUCCUUCGCUGUGACCCUGACAUGUUUCCCUCCACCGGCCCGAGGAAACCGUCGCUUCCAGCCUCCAGGUACCGUCACCUCUGCGGGGCUGCGAGCGGAGGACCGGGACAGAGAAGGAGCCGGCGGUCCUGGCCAGCCGCGCGGCUCAAAACCCGACGGCGCGGGGACUCCGGGCCUGGGGCCUCCAUGGCUGUGGCCUCCUUAUCUCCCGGGCCGGCUGCUCCCUACGCUGCGGGGCUGAGGGCACUGGGGACCCAGGGGCUUCUCUGGCACUAGCGAGGACCUAACCUUGAGUGAAGAACGAUGUCAAGUGAAAGUGAAGAAUAACGGGGGUGGGCGCGAAGAGAAUGGUCUUGGGGCGCGCUUGCGCCUCUACCCGAGGACCGAGGUGGGGAUUCGACAGACGCCAGCGGUGGGGAUCCGGGGCGAGAAGCCCCGACUUUCUGAGUCGUGAGCCGCCUCCAGUCGCCCCAGGACGUAACCCCGAGGAGCUUUCAGACACUGGCCGCGCCUAAUAUCGCUGAGAACCGCGAAAACCGGAGUUCCGGCCGCCUCCCGGACUGGCGUCCCGAGGCCAGGGGACCCGCUUGGGGCUCCCGGCCGAGCCCCGACCUCGGACGUUUUUCCGGGAGCCGCGAGAGGCCUGGGGGCCUGGGCCAGGCGCCGCGGCGGGCAUCGAUCGCCGGCUCCCAGAGAGUGGCCCCGCGCAGGUGGAGGUGACCCCGUCACCUCCAGGAGCGCCCCCAAGCCCCGGUACCCGCAGCGUGCGCCCUCUCCUCCUCCCCGAAGGUUAAGUUCGUCUUUUUCGGUUCUCGGUUACGCAUCCCCUUGGCACGCAUGCCCAGCCACACCGUGGGCGAAACUAGAGGGCCCGCGUCCCCUGGGGGCUGCCGCGGGGCCCCGAGUGAGGUGUCCCCUCCGGGCCGGGCCCGAGUCGGAGGCCCCCUUUGCAGCCUAGAGGAGCGCGGGGCUGGCGCUGCGCAGGAACCGCCAGGCCGGGGAGGGGGCCGCGCCCGGGCCUGGGCCAAGAGCGCGCGUCCCCCGCCCGGGCCCUGCGGCCCUCCCCAGGUGUCUGAGCAGAGCUGCUGAAGCUGCAGAAAUGUGCUGGCGCCUGUCCACCGCCGCACACAAAACCCAGCCAAAAGCGGCGAGAGGAAAAGCGAAUAUGGCGCUGCUGAAAAUGGAGACUCCGCAUCUAGAAAGUCUUUCUUUCCUUUCCUCUUUUCGCUCUUACUUCGUCGAUCUUUUCCCCCUUGCCCUCUCACGAGGGCCUCCUGCGCUUUCCUUCGGGUGUUCUCUACCCCUCGGCCCCUUUCCUGUUCUUAUGAAUAACCUCCUUUACUCGGUUUUCCUUCUUCCUUUCCACUCCCGGUUCCUCUUUCUCCAUUUUGUGUCACAGGCGCCUUGCUUCUUGUUCCCUUUCAGGGCGCGCACUCCCCCGCCCGGCUCACUUUAUUUUGUGUGUGGGUGGCGGAGCAGGGAGGGGGUGGCAAGGAUCGUGAGGCUAAGUAUCGAGUUUGUUUGUUUGUUUUUCUUUCUUUCUUCUUCUUCUUUUUAAAGGUGUUAUCUUAGGAGCCAAGCAUCUCCUUUGGUCCUGCGCUCCUUCGCCUAGCGCCUGGUGCCCCCCACCCGGCUGCAUCCGAGGCUUGCGCGGCCCGGUCCCAUCAGCCGAGCGUCGCCCGCCCAGGAGGAGGCUCGGGUUCUCCGCAGAAGCGAAUACUUUCUCUUUUUGUUUUAAGUUAGAACCUUGCUUUUGCAGUGAUUCGUUGCUGUGGCGUGAUUUUAAACAGGUCGAAAAGCAUCAUGAAGCCAAGUGGUUAUUGUUUUGCUUAUUCAGUGUGAACUGAGUGAGCCAGGUUUGUAUACCAAGUGAUUCUCGUGGUGGACAAUACCAAUAUGAUUAUGCCAAAUGCAUUGCUUCUGAGGCAUCACUCUUUGGGCACAUAUAGACCCUGCUGAUUUCUGCCAAAGCACUCUUCUUAAAGUUCCAAAACAUUACCCCAAAACCUCUAUAGCCCCCUAUUGCCAACAAAAUUAAAGCCUUUCUCUUCAUUGGCAUUAGAAGCCCCUGUAACCCAUUGCUUUUCCAUUUCCAGCCUCUUUCCAAAAUUACCAAACAAACUCUGUAUCCUGCAGCCACCAAACUGUACUAGUUGUAAUAUAUUCACUAAGAACAGUGGUCUCUCAUUUGUCUCUCUUUUCUCUCUUCUUAUAUCAGUUAGAAUGUAACAGACAACCCAGCUAACACAGAGGCUCAUUUUUCUUAUGUGACAAGAAGUCUGUAGAUAAAGAGUUGCUAGUGUUUUCUUGGGGGUUCAGUGAUAUCACCUCUGUGAUUCAGUUGACCUUCAUAUCAUAGUUGCAAAAUGGCUGCCGUAAGUACAAAAACCACACUGACUGCUGGGUGGGAAGGCAACAGAAAAUUUGUUCUUGGUGAGUCUUACUCACGUCAAGGAAGUAUAAUAUUUUCCAAAAUGCCCCACCAAAGGAUUUCCUCUUACAUCAUAUUAGCCAGAACUGGGACAUAUUAUCACCCUUUAUCUGGGGUAGAGGCCCACAUUUCCACAUCAAAGGGAAUUUGCUCAAUGCCUAAAUCAAACUGGAAUUCAGUUAAGCAAAGAAGAAACAGAGGAAUGGUUUUUGGGUAGGCAGUAAACACUGUCAGCUACAUCUCCCUGAAAGCCAUCACUCCCUUAAAAUAUCUUUGCGUAAUGUCAUCAGUUACUUCUGAACUUUUUCAUCCAAUGGACAGUGUUUAUUUUCUAACUUACUUGAACUUUUUGUGGGGCUUAGCCACACCCUUUUUGAAAUUUAUGUAUUCAUCAAAUACCCACUCAUCACUUACUGUGUAUUAGUCACUCUGCUGGGCAAAGAGAAUGAAAAAAUGAGUCAUGCAUGGUCCUGAACCUUCACAAGUUUAUAGCCUAGUGGGGCAGACAGGUGAAUAAAUAAGUGCAAAAGAAUGUUAUAGAUACUGUGAUAAAAUUAUGUUUCGUGGGCCGGGUGUGGUGGCUCAUGCCUGUAAUCUCAGCACUUUGGGAGGCUGAGGCGGGUGGAUCACCUGAGGUCAGGAGUUUGAGACUAGCCUGGCCAACAUGGUGAAACCCCGUCUCUAAUAAAAAAUAACAAAAAUUAGCUGGGCGUGGUGGCAGGCACCUGUAAUCCCAGCGACUGGGAGGCUGAGGCAGGAGAAUUGCUUGAACCCAAGAGGCAGAGAUUGCAGUGAGCUGAGAUCACGCCAUUGCACUGCAGCCUGGGCAACAAGAGAAAACUUUGUCUCAAAAUAAAUAAAUAAUAUGUUUUGUGGGUUUUUUUUUUUUUCUUUGACAGGGUUCUUACUCUGUCACCCAGCCUGGAGUGCAGUGGCACGAUUAUAGCUCACUAUAACCUCGGGCUCCCUGGCUCAAGCAAUUCUCCUGCCUCAGCCUCCUGAGUAGUUGGAACUAUGCAGGCUAAUUAUUUUAUCUUUUGUAGAAAUGGGGUCUUGCUAAGUUAGCCAGGCUUGUCUUGAACUCCUGAGCUCAAGCGGCCUUCCCACAUUGACUUCCCAAAGUGCUGGGAUUACAGGCAUGAGCCACCAUGCCGGGCUUAGAAUGAUGAAUGAGAUAAAAUGGGGUACAAAGAAAGGAGCAGCCAUUUCUGGAUCUCAGGUGUGAUGUCUCUUUUCAGGGAAGGACAGGGGUGAUACAGCCAUUAAUAAAAGCAAUCUCACUUUCCUGGUUGGUUGUCUCUUUGCCUCCUCCCCUGGAAUAAUACAGACCUCUGUAGAAAAUCACAGGCAGGGUAGGGAUGACGGAGCUGGCCUCCUCCCUUCCCUUGGCCUGACAAAUAUGCAUGGAAUUCCCAGGAAUGUUCAAGCUUUUUUUUUUUUUUUUUCCAAACUUCAGAUUAGAAUCCAACUCAUGUAGAAUCCAUGUAGAAUCCGACUCAAACAGAAUCCAUCAGGCAUGAGAAUUCUGGAAUGCCCUUCCUGGUUUAUCUACUUCAUCUGUGUUCCAUGAAGGGCACCUGGUCUCACACCUAGACUCCGGGAGCUCCAGGUCCCUACUCUCUUAGGUUUCAGGGCCUAACCAAUCAGGAUGGCAAGAAGGAUGUAUUUGGGGAGAUCCAAGCCUGUCUGCUUGGCUGUAGUGUAGGACUGGGGGGAAAAGAAAGGCACAGUAAGGAUCAAAACAAGGCUGGAGCAGUAGGUAAAGAUGAGUUCAUGCCAACGUAGGAGGCUUGAAGAUGUUUGGUAAGUCAUAGGUUCCCAAACUUUCCAGCUCACUGCAUCUGUAGCAUCUUCGUAAUUUGUUCAUGGUGCCCUCAGCCAGAAGACAUACUUCACAAUUCCAUUCGUUAAGUAGGUAAGUCUAAACAACAUAUUAGUGGUCAUUUGUGAGGUGUUUGAUAGGUGGGGCUGUAUUUCUCUCAAACAUUUAAAAUAUCCCACAGCAACCUUGUGAGUUUGUUCCCUGUGGUGUCCCAGGGUGACCUGAUGGGAAAUUUGAGAACCAUGGUAUAGGUCGCUAAAGAUUUUUCAUCUGGUGAAUUAAAUAUUUGAUUUUGUAUUUGAGAAAGCGCCAUCUUUCUGUAGAUUGGAGUAAAGGCGUGGUGGGAGGUAAGGAGACCAUAAGUUAGUGGUAGUCAUUUAGGAGAGAAGUGAUGGGGAUAUAAAAUGAGACAUACUAAUGAGCAUGCUGCUGGAUCUAAAAUAUGUUAUGGAGGUAGAAUGGAGAGGAGGAUUUCCUUAUCAAUUGGUUUUUGGAGAGAAAGAAAGAGAGAGGUUGAUUCCUAGACUGUGGGCUUGGGUUAAAGGGUAUAUGAUAGCAGACAUGUUGAAAAAACAUAUCUUUGGGAGAAAGAAUAACAUUUUUUGGCAUGCUGAAUUUGAGACGUGCAAGGAUGAGAUGGAUAUAGGGCAUUGGAGCUCAGGAGCAGAUCUGAAAAAUAUAAGUUAAUUAUGAAUAUAUAGAUUAGGGCUGACAACAUAAGAGUAGACGAAAUGGCUCAGGAUGAGUGUAGAAUAGAAAGAAGCAUGCCCAUAUGUGAUGGUCAAUUUUCUUUUAAUUUUAAUUUUUGUAGAGAUGGGGUCUCACUAUGUUGCCCAGGCUGAUCUUGAGCUCCUGGCCUCAAGCAAUCCUCCUGCCUCAGCCUUCCAGAGCACUGGGAUUACAGGCAUGAGCCACCAUGAUUGGUCUGGAUUCCUUAUAAAAAAUAUUAUAAUGAGUACAUCAUGUUUAGAGAGCCAAGAAAGGGCAGGGUCCUGCCUAGGAGACAGAGCCAGGACAGGUAUCAUGAAGCUUGUGUAAAGUGAUAUGUUUUGGGUGGAGCCAAGACUCUUCCCCUACUGUUGUUCUGUUCAAUAGAGACCCUGGGUCUUUCUUUUUCGUUUGUGGUGGCGCCCCCUGGAUAGAGCCUCAGAGAGGCAGCAUCACAAAGAGCUAUGCAAGGAAUUGGUUCUGCAGGGGAGACAGUGGAGGGCAAGGUGUGGGGGACUGCGGGGAGGAGGAGGGGGUAGGGGAGAGGUGGUAGCACACAGUGCGAGGAUUCUGUGCCAUGCCAGUUCAGCCUUAUGUUCAAAGCAGCUGUUCUUUCUGGGCUUCCAAGAGAGGAGCACCAUUUUUAUGCCCACAUUGUAACAAACAAUGAGAUAUGUACUGGUUAACAGUAUCAAAUGCAAUGCAGUGAUUAAAUAAGGAGUGGAGAAAAUCUAUGGAAUCUUACAAUUUGGAGGGCCCUGGUGACUUAUCUAAAUACCUUUUUUGCAAUAGAGCAAGUCAGAACCCUGAGGAUCUCAGGGAUUAACAAGGGAGACAGCCAUGUCAAACAAACAAAACCAAUGCACUGUGAUAAGGUGUAAGGCUUAAUAUAAGGUGGGAUAACUUUCUCUCACCUCUCUCAUUCACUAAUCACUUCCUAUCAGCACCUGUCACUGGUAGGUGGUUUCUGAUGCUCCGAAACGCCCAGGUGCGCUGGCUUCCAGCCUAGCUCCUCUCCUCCCUCUGCGUGUUCUUCCUGAGCAAUUUCAUCCAAUUUAACUAUCACCUGUAGACCAGUGAUUUCUCAACCUGUAUUUCUAGUUUCCUGACUUACUGAGCUUGAGUUCAGCAUUUUGAACAAUGGCCAUAGUACUGGGCACAUGGAGGUACUCAGUAAAUGUCUACUAAUUCACUUAAAAGUUGAUCCUAAGUAAACUGAUGAUGUAGGAGUAAAUUUGGAUCUCAAGUAAACUGAAGUUUACACAGUGAGUAAGCAGGGAAAUACUUUCCAAUAGAUUUGACAUAAAACUUCAAUUUCUUUUUUUUUUCUUUUUCUUUUUUUUUUAGAGACAGGGUCUUGCUGUGUCACCCAGGCUAGAGUGCACUGAUGUAAUCAUGGCUCUCUGCUGCAGCCUCUAACCCCUGGGCUCAAGGGAUCCUCCUGCCUCAGCUUCCUGAGCAGCUGGGACUACAAGUGCAGUCCAUCAUAGCCAACUAAUUUUUUUUUUUUUUUGAGAUAGGGUCUCCCUCUGUUGCCCAGACUGGAGUGCAGUGGCAUGGUCUUCGGUCACUGCAGCCUUGAUCUCCCAGGCUCAAGUGAUCCUCUCACCUCAGCCCCCUCGAGUAGCUGAGGCUACAUGCACUUGCCACCGUAUGUGGCUAAUUUUUGCACUUUUUAGUAGAGAUGGGAUUUCACCAUGUUGCCCAGGCUAGUCUCGAACUCCUGGAUUCAAGCAAUCUGCCCACCUAGGCCUUCCAAAGUGCUUGGAGUAUAGGCAUGAGCCACCAUGCCCAGCCUGCCCAGCUAAUUUUUAAUUUUUUUGUAGCGAUGGAGUCCUGCUAUGUUGCCCAGGCUGGUCUUGAACUUCUAGCCUCAAGUGAUCCGUCUGCCUUGGCCUCCCAAAGUGCUGGGAUUACAGUCAUGAGCUACUAUGCUGGGUCUAAAACCUCAGUAAUUAACCGGAAACCAGAUGAGAGUUUCACUAUGGGAAUUGGGUUAGGUGCAGCUAAUCACAGUGAAGAAUAGAUUAAAAUACAUGGAUUUGCAAAUCAGAAUGCAGGUUCUGCUGCUAACUUUGGGAAAUUCAGCUAAUUCUCUGUGUCUUUGUUUCUAUGCUAGUAAUGCUUUAUUUUAAAAUGUAUUUAUGGUUAUUAAGAUGUAAUUCACAUACCAUAAAAUUUAUCGAUUUAAAGUGUACAAGUCAGUGUAUUUACAGACUCAUGUAACCAUCAUCACUAAUUCCAGCGUGUUUUCAUCACCCUAAAAAACACCCUCAUGCCCUCAUUCCCCAUUCCCCAUUACCCCAGUUUCUGGCUACUGCUUUCUAUCUCUAUAUAUUUACUAUACUGUACAUUUCAUACGAGUGGCAUCAUAUAAUAUAUGUCCUUUUGUGUCUGGCUGCUUUCUCUUAAGCAUAAUGUUUAACCAUAAAAAAAGUUAGCAUAAUGUUUUCAAGAUUCAUCCAUCUUACACCAUGUAUCAAUACUUUGUUCCUUUUUAUGGCUAAAUAAUAUUCCAUUAAUUGGAUGUAUCAGAUUUUGUUUAUUCAUCAAUUGAUGGACAUUUGCAUUGUUUCCAUUUUUUUGCUAUUAUGAAUUAUGCUGCUAUGGACAGUACUGUAUGUCCUGCAUGGACAUUACAGAAACUUUUCUGUGUGGCCAUAUGAUGACUCAAUGUUUGACAUCUUGAGGAGCUACCAGUUGCUUUUCUGAGUGGCUGCAUCACUCUGUAUUCCCACCAGCACUGUAUAAGAGUUCCAAUUUAUCCAUGUCCUGGCCAACACUGGUUAUUGUCCAUCUUUUUUAUUGUUGCCAUCCUCAUUGAUAUGAAGGGACACCUCAUUGUGAUUUGAUUUACAUUUCCCUAAUGACUAAUGAUAUUGAGCAUUUUUUUCAUGUGUUUAUUUGCCAUUUGUAUAUCUUCUUUAGAGGAAUGUCUACAAAUCCUUUUCCCACUUAAAAAUUGAUUAUUUUUCUUUUUAUUGUUGCAUUUUAAGAAUUCUUUAUACAUUCUGGAUGUUAGAACCAUAUCAGAUAUAUGAUAGGCAAAUAUUUUCUUCAAUUCUGUGGUUUGUAUUUUCACUUUCUUGUUAGUAUAUUUUGAAGCAUAAAAGUGUUUAAUUUUGGUGAUGUCCAUGUCCACUUUAUUUUUUCUUUUGUUGGUUGUGUUUUUGUUGUCAUAUCUAAGAAUCCAUUACCCAAUCCAAGAUCACAAAAAUUAAGGUCUGUAUUUUUUCUAAGAGUUUUAUGGCUUUAGGUUUUACAUUUGGGUUUUUGAUCCAUUUUGAGUUAAUUUUUGUAUAUGGUGUGAGUUAGGGAUCCAAUUUCAUUCUUUGCAUGUGUACAUGUAGUUGUCCCAGCACCAUUUGUUGAAAAGACUCCUCUUUUCCUCUUAAAUUGUCUUAGUGCCCUUGUUGAAAUACAUUGGCCAUAGAUGUAGGGACUCCCAAUUCUACUCCAUUGAACAAUAUGCUCAUGCUUAUUCUAGUACCACAACUAUAAUCCCAGAAUGAAAAGGUGAAUUACAUAGAAGAAAUUUCUAUUCUCAAAUUACUUCAUAACUCAAAAGACUUGUGGGCAAUUCAGUUCUGGGUUUUCUUUCAUCUCUCGUUGGAAAAAAAAAAUCUCUGCAUCAACCCCAUCUAAAAUAACUAAAUUGUAUGCAUAAACCUAAAUUUAAAUACUCAUCUGCAGGUCUCGUUUAUAGAAUCCUACUUAUGUUGAUGAUGUGGGCUUUGGCAAUCUCUUUCUCACUGUAUUCUAUGAAAUAGCUUAAAAAGUCAAUUAUGAAUUGAAGCAUUCAAUUAUUAGAAUGCAUAAUACUAGUUUAAUUUAAAAGUUAGUCUUCAGUUUCAUGCAAAACCC
Molecule: long non-coding RNA, 8878 nt
Filed under: Homo sapiens (human)
Lineage: Eukaryota; Metazoa; Chordata; Mammalia; Primates; Hominidae
Description: non-protein coding lnc-EBLN1-1:3
Rfam family: Metazoan signal recognition particle RNA (bases 3052-3168)
Source: RNAcentral